UGUAAGGGCGAUUUGCUUGCAACAUCUGUCAUCCACAUUGUCUGGCUACAACAUCUGUCACCCCAGGGAAGCUCCAGUCAAUUGGCCAGUCUGCUCCCCUCCUCCCUCACAGCACUCUGCAUCCCUCCCAAAGGCAAGCCCUCCAUGAUCUUGUCUGUAGAGGAGGACUGUCCUUUGGUCAAGAGUAACUGCACUCCCCUGCUACAACCUCCAAAUAAAUUCUCAACACUAACGCUUGCCUUUGGGAGGGAGGGCUGUGUAAGAGAUUAGGAAAAGUUACACAGGGGAGUUGACCUUGUACACAGCCUUUGUGU
RNAcentral lists this small nuclear RNA (314 nucleotides) under Microtus ochrogaster (prairie vole). RNAcentral describes it as "7SK RNA (ENSMOCG00000009788.1)". It matches the Rfam family "7SK RNA". From Rfam's summary of the family: 7SK was discovered as an abundant small nuclear RNA in the mid-70s but a possible function has only recently been suggested. Two independent studies have found that 7SK RNA binds the CDK9/cyclin T complex (known as elongation factor P-TEFb). The record is from RNAcentral. Lineage: Eukaryota; Metazoa; Chordata; Mammalia; Rodentia; Cricetidae.